Molecule: ribosomal RNA, 484 nt
Filed under: uncultured bacterium
Lineage: Bacteria
Description: partial 16S ribosomal RNA
Rfam family: Bacterial small subunit ribosomal RNA
Source: RNAcentral
AUUGAACGCUGGCGGCAUGCUCUACACAUGCAAGUCGAGCGGCAGCGCGGGCUUCGGCCUGGCGGCGAGUGGCGAACGGGUGAGUAAUACAUCGGAACGUGCCCAGUAGUGGGGGAUAGCUCGGCGAAAGCCGGAUUAAUACCGCAUACGACCUGAGGGUGAAAGCGGGGGAUCUUCGGACCUCGCGCUAUUGGAGCGGCCGAUGGCAGAUUAGCUAGUUGGUGGGGUAAAGGCCUACCAAGGCGACGAUCUGUAGCUGGUCUGAGAGGACGACCAGCCACACUGGGACUGAGACACGGCCCAGACUCCUACGGGAGGCAGCAGUGGGGAAUUUUGGACAAUGGGCGAAAGCCUGAUCCAGCAAUGCCGCGUGUGUGAUGAAGGCCUUCGGGUUGUAAAGCACUUUUGGCGGGAACGAAAAGGACUGUGCCAAUACCACGGUUCGAUGACGGUACCCGCAGAAUAAGCACCGGCUAACUACGUG